GGCUUCGUAGCUCAGCUGGUAGAGCGCUUGCCGCGUACACUCACGGUGUUUUUGUCGCUGGUUCGAAUCCAGCCGAAGCCC
Molecule: transfer RNA, 81 nt
Filed under: Paragonimus heterotremus
Lineage: Eukaryota; Metazoa; Platyhelminthes; Trematoda; Plagiorchiida; Troglotrematidae
Rfam family: tRNA
About the family: Transfer RNA (tRNA) molecules are approximately 80 nucleotides in length. Their secondary structure includes four short double-helical elements and three loops (D, anti-codon, and T loops).
Source: Rfam by way of RNAcentral